GGGCAGAGGGAGCAGUGCUUGGGUUGGAGAUGGUUGGCAUGUUUCUCUCUGGAGCUACAGGAUGAAGUGCCGAGGGACUCAACAUGUGGAAAUCUAAGUCUCUGAGGAUUCCUGUGUGACCAAAGGCUGCAUUUCUCUUCUCAAAGCAGGUCUACCCCUGCGGUGCUGCUGUCCACACGUGGGGAGCUGGUAGAGGACAAGGACAACUGCAAAGAAAGUCAGCUUUUGAGCGUUCCUUUGUGGAGCUGAAAGAACAUAAAGUCAUCACAGAGAGCCUCAUUAAAAUGUUUAAUGAGAGCAGUGCAAUCCCACAGCCCAAGGAUCAGUGUUUAUAGCAAGGAUUGCCCAGAAGCUUCAUCCCACCAGAGCCAGGUAUCACCAGGAGAACCCAUUCACUGAGGGGCACACUGACUGCUGUCACCAACAGCCAGACAAGCACAGGAGACAAAGCAACCCAAGAGAACUACAGCUGGGUAACAACACCAGUGCGAAUUUCUCAGCCCAGAACAAGCCAAGAUUCAUUUCUGGCCAAAAUUCCUGCACUAAUGUUAACCACCAUCUGAUUAAAUGAUUUUCCUGAGAUCCUGAUGCAAGUCAUUGUCUCAGAAAGGACUCACAUGGGCAUGCUGCAGCCCUGGUUCCCUGCUGCCCACCUCUGCCUCUGGUUGCUCCAGUGCCCUGUGCAGCCCCAUCACCUGCACUCUGCUCCCCGCUGGAAAAACAUGCUCGUUUUCAAAGGUAAGGGAGUCUUGGGUUACUAGGAACACAAAUCAUUACGAGUAAAACUGCAUUCCCAAUUUAUUGUAUUUGUUUUAUUUAUGAUUUUAUUACUUAUUCCACAUUUUCCAUAUUUUCCAUGUGUUUCGCGUCAUUCUGGUCCAUUUAGGCCUUGACGUGGAAACUUGGGCUCUUCUCCCUGCCUGACGUGUUGAAGGCUUUAUAAACAGCCUUGUUUCAUUGUUUGCUCUGCCUGUUUCCAUCCUGCAGGUGUGUGGCUGAAGCUGUGCUUGAGACAAAUCCGAAUGCUUUCUGCCUGGGGAACAGGAUGGGGCUGAAGGUGAAAAAAAAGCAGCAAUUAAUGCAGUAAGUGGUGAAAAUUAAGCAAAUUGUUCAAGUGGUGCUUUAACAAAUAACAGUUUGAGACUUUUGAUUUGUGGGUUUUCUUUUUUGUGUUAAGGAAAGAAGAAAGGAGGAGAUUUUUUGCAUGCAGUCAACAUGUUGCAUGUGCACAUCCGGAGUUCUCACUGACCCAAAAACCAAUUCACUGACUGAGGAAACUCCUCCCCAUGUUGGUUCAUUCCCUGUGCUGCACAUCUGCUCCUGGAAGAGCCUGCCAGAAAGUGGAAAAUUACUGGUGCUGAUCACCUUUCCAACCAUUCUGGGUGUAAGAUGGCACAAGAACAGUUUUGCAAAGCUGACCUCAACGAGACGCUACGACCCACUGCUCAUCCUCUGGAUUCACAGGACACCAAGUCCUGCCUAAAUGCAAGAACCUCAGAGCAUCAGCAGGACAUCCCACCCAGCCAGAGAACCUAGAGGAAGCUUCUGAGCUUGUAUGAGUCACUCAUCAUCUCAAGCAGUAUUAGAAGGAAAUUGCCUUAGGGCACUGUCAUCACCAUUUGUGAGUAUUUGUUGACAGCAAAUGUCUGUGCUACUGUUACGAACCUCAGGCUGGGCUAGGUUUGAACCUAAGAUCACCACUUUUAGCACAUAUGCAUUGGCCAGCUGGGCUGAAAAAAUGGAGAAUUCAGCAUCACCAGAAGCUGGCAGUUGCUUUAAAGUUAACGUGCAUCUGUGCAUAGCCUUUGCCAGCAACAAAUGCAGACUGAUGGACUUAGCUUAGCUGAGAACAAAAUAUUCUUACAUCCCAAUGAACUUACAAAGAGGGAGGUGAAAAAAAUACCAUUCCUGAUCUGGAACUAGACUUCUUAGCAGGGGACAAGACUGCAAAUAGAUACACACACACUACAGCCAUUUUUACACAGUCUUUCACUCCUACAGCUACCAACAACCUUCACAUCAUCCCUGACCCUAGUUCAUGUUCCCAUGGUCUGAUGGCAUCACCAGGAGAGUGCUCACGUGUUCCAGCCAGGGAAAGCAGCACAGACUGGAGGCUUCCCAGACAAGAAUAAGGCUGAUGCAUGUGUCACCCAAAAGCCCCCCUUCUACAUAUUUCAUUGCAAGAGAUCUCGCUAAAUUUACUGCCUACAAACCAAUUGGCAAGCAGGCAUUACAGCUUUUCCUAAAUAAAUAAAUUAAUUAAUUAAUUAAUUAAAAAAAAAAAAAAAUGGAAGCAUCAGAAAGAAGGUGGCUUGGCCAUUUCCUCCCAGUUCUUCCUCCAGGCUGCUCAGCUCAGUCAGUGUAACCUCAUAACCUCAUCACCCUCCUAGCAGACAGCUCUUUCUGCCUCCCAGACAAGGACAAGAAAAACCUUGGUUGAAGCAAAACAGAGAGAGCUUCAUGGCUUCCCCAGAGAAGGGAAAUGCAAGAUGGUGGUUAGCAUCCCUCUAUCCCAUCUGACAGAGCCUAGAUCCAGUUUUGUCUAAGGCCCAUGGACAAAUUGAUGUACUCACAAAGGGUGGCCAAAUCCUAGCAGAAUUGAAGGCAACUUGAGACCUGGCCAGCCCAAGCAGAGCACGUUGUUGUUUAGAAAUGAUACUCAUUAAGAGCAGAAGUCAGGCAGCAAUCACCUUCUGCAGCUGAUAAUACCGGAGGAGGGAGAUGGUGGAAAAUGAAACCUUGGAAAACAAAACUUAUUUGGUACCAUUGAUUAAAACCAGUUUGUGUUUCAUUGUGAAAGGCUGUGUUUGCUCAAGGUUUAUUCAGCUCUGGUCUCUUCCAUCCACAUACGGUUUGUUUUAAUGACUGUGGAGUUAUAUGAAUCUAUUAAUUUUUUUUCCUGAAAGUUUCAUAAUAACAAUGCCUGUUUUUUUCAUACAGCACUUUACAGCCACGCGUCUGGAAACACACUGCAAAUAGGCAAUUAGUGUCAGCCCUGUUUGGAAGAUGGAGAAACUCAGAGUCCAAGCAAGAUAACUAUUAAAGAAUAGUGCCAAAAUUAGGCCUUCUGCUUCAUCUUGACAAACUGGAACUACAGCCUCUUGAAGACAUCAGGGAUGCACGAAAAGCAUUCCAUUUAGCUAGCAGUAACUCUGGCUCAGGUUGGACAGACAAGAGGACAGCAGCAAAGACAGACUGACUCACGCUAAACAACAGAGGUAGGAAGAGGACUUCCAGUAACGACAGACUUAGGCCACUGCAAC
This is a long non-coding RNA of Lagopus muta (rock ptarmigan), 3263 nucleotides long. RefSeq lists it as uncharacterized. The record is from RefSeq and is a predicted model, not a curated record. Lineage: Eukaryota; Metazoa; Chordata; Aves; Galliformes; Phasianidae. The transcript is spliced from 6 exons.